Molecule: ribosomal RNA, 645 nt
Filed under: Roseivirga spongicola
Lineage: Bacteria; Pseudomonadati; Bacteroidota; Cytophagia; Cytophagales; Roseivirgaceae
Description: bacterial SSU rRNA
Rfam family: Bacterial small subunit ribosomal RNA
Source: RNAcentral
GGCGCACGGGUGCGUAACGCGUAUGCAACCUACCUUGUACAGGGGGAUAGCCCGGAGAAAUUCGGAUUAAUACCCCAUAGUAUUAUCAGAUGGCAUCUGAAGAUAAUUAAAGAUUUAUCGGUACAAGAUGGGCAUGCGUGACAUUAGUUAGUUGGUAAGGUAAAGGCUUACCAAGACGAUGAUGUCUAGGGGUUCUGAGAGGAUGAUCCCCCACACUGGUACUGAGAUACGGACCAGACUCCUACGGGAGGCAGCAGUAGGGAAUAUUGGUCAAUGGGCGAGAGCCUGAACCAGCCAUGCCGCGUGCAGGAAGACGGCCUUCUGGGUUGUAAACUGCUUUUCUACGGGAAGAAAAUGCCCUUGCGAGGGAAAUUGCCGGUACCGUAGGAAUAAGCACCGGCUAACUCCGUGCCAGCAGCCGCGGUAAUACGGAGGGUGCAAGCGUUGUCCGGAUUUAUUGGGUUUAAAGGGUGCGUAGGCGGAUCUUUAAGUCAGUGGUGAAAGCCUGCAGCUUAACUGUAGAACUGCCAUUGAUACUGGAGGUCUUGAGUACACUAGAGGUAGGCGGAAUUUAUGGUGUAGCGGUGAAAUGCAUAGAUACCAUAAAGAACACCUAUAGCGUAGGCAGCUUACUGGAGUGUAACU